This is a small nuclear RNA of Loxodonta africana (African savanna elephant), 106 nucleotides long. The record is from Ensembl. Lineage: Eukaryota; Metazoa; Chordata; Mammalia; Proboscidea; Elephantidae.
GCACUUUCUUCUGCAGUACAUAUACUAAAACUGGAACAAUGCAGAAAAGAUUAGCAUGUCCUUAUGCAAGGAUGACAGUCAAACUCAUGAUGCAUUUAUAUUUUCA